Carassius carassius (crucian carp) is the source of this 308-nucleotide long non-coding RNA. RefSeq lists it as uncharacterized. The record is from RefSeq and is a predicted model, not a curated record. The transcript is spliced from 3 exons. Lineage: Eukaryota; Metazoa; Chordata; Actinopteri; Cypriniformes; Cyprinidae.
CUAGCUGUUAUAUUUUUAAUUAUUUACCAUUUCCCCUUUUCAGAACAAAGAAAUUACAGAGAAUGCUUACAGUAAGGUUUCCAUGUCUCAAAAGUCAAAAGCAAAAACAGUCAACUUUGCAUCCCCCUACUUUCUGUUGUGCCUGAAGGCAUCAUAUUUUCUCAUAUCAGAGGCAGUUCCAGACACAAACACAUUUGUAGCUGGCCCCGAUGACAGAAGUAGCUGUGGCUUCCAGCUGUGUGUUGACACAAUAGCCUUAACACUUUGGCCGGAUCCUGGAUGGGUCCCUAGAGAACAGCUCUGCUUUU